RNAcentral lists this small nuclear RNA (171 nucleotides) under Microtus ochrogaster (prairie vole). Its description in RNAcentral is "U12 minor spliceosomal RNA (ENSMOCG00000008659.1)". The record is from RNAcentral. Lineage: Eukaryota; Metazoa; Chordata; Mammalia; Rodentia; Cricetidae.
AUGCCUUAAACUUUUGAGUAAAGAAAACAGCAAUUCCAGGUGCGCUCUCGUCCUCACUGCUAAUGUGAGAUGAACUGUUGAGCGGGUAAAGUCUGCCGCUAAGGCAAUCCACCUACAAAUCACUAAAUAUAAGAAAAAGGGCUGGAGUGUGGCUCAGUGGUAGAGCCCCUG